RNAcentral lists this small RNA (86 nucleotides) under Salmonella enterica. RNAcentral's name for it is "partial RtT sRNA". It matches the Rfam family "RtT RNA", at positions 1 to 85 of the family's 130-position model. Rfam says of the family: This family represents a bacterial cis-regulatory element known as RtT RNA. The exact function of RtT is unknown although it is thought that it may be involved in changing the cellular response in relation to amino acid starvation. The record is from RNAcentral. RNAcentral also lists the same sequence under 4 other names. Lineage: Bacteria; Pseudomonadati; Pseudomonadota; Gammaproteobacteria; Enterobacterales; Enterobacteriaceae.
UAUCUCUCCGUACGGGGAAGGAUGAGAAGCUUCGACUAAGGUUCGAUUCGAGCGCAGCGAGAAAGCGUUGCCGCAGGCAACGACCC